Molecule: ribosomal RNA, 406 nt
Filed under: uncultured bacterium
Lineage: Bacteria
Description: partial 16S ribosomal RNA
Rfam family: Bacterial small subunit ribosomal RNA
Source: RNAcentral
AUUGAACGCUGGCGGCAGGCCUAACACAUGCCAGUCGAACGUGUGGCGGACGGGUGAGUACUGUCUGGGAAACUGCCCGAUGGAGGGGGAUAACUACUGGAAACGGUAGCUAAUACCGCCUACCAUCGGAUGUGCCCAGAUGGGAUUAGCUAGUAGGUGUGGUAACGGCUCACCUAGGCGACGAUCCCUAGCUGGUCUGAGAGGAUGGCCAGCCACCAAGGAAGUGAGACAGGGACCAGACUCCUGCGGGAGGCAGCAGUGGGAAAUAUUGCACAAUGGGGGCAGGCCGGAUGCCGCCAUGCCGCGUGUAUGAAGAAGGCCUGCAGGUGGUAAAGUACAAUUAGCGGGGAGGCGGUGACCGCAGAAGAAGCACAGGCUAACUCCGUGCCAGCAGCCGCGGUAAUAC